GAUGUUUGGAUAACUGUGGCAAUUCUAGAGCUAAUACAUGCAAUCAAGCUCCAACCUUCGUGGGACGAGCGCUCUUAUUAGACCAAGGCCAACCUGCUGGGCAACUGGCAGUUAGCUGUGGUGACUCUGGAUAAACACAGUUGAUCGCACGACUUUACGUCGGCGACGUAUCUUUCAAGCGUAUGCCCUAUCAGCUGUCGACGGUAGGGUAGCGGCCUACCGUGGCAUCAACGGGUAACGGGGGAUCAGGGUCCGAUCCCGGAGAGUAAGCCUGAGAGACGGCUUACACAUCUAAGGAAGGCAGCAGGCGCGCAAAUUACCCAAUGGGGAAACCCUGAGGUAGUGACAAGAAAUAACAAUACGCGACUCUUUCGAGGCCGCGUAAUUGGAAUGAGCACAGUCUAAAUCCUUUAGCGAGGAUCAAUUGGAAGGCAAGUCUGGUGCCAGCAGCCGCGGUAAUUCCAGCUCCAAUAACGUAUAUUAAAGUU
This 488-nucleotide ribosomal RNA is filed under the name Spirobranchus sp. 150316_01P3. RNAcentral's name for it is "SSU rRNA". It matches the Rfam family "Eukaryotic small subunit ribosomal RNA", at positions 134 to 611 of the family's 1831-position model. Lineage: Eukaryota; Metazoa; Annelida; Polychaeta; Sabellida; Serpulidae. The record is from RNAcentral.